AGAGUUUGAUCCUGGCUCAGGACGAACGCUGGCGGCGCGCCUAACACAUGCAAGUCGAGCGAGAACCAGGGCUUUGGUCCUGGGGACAGCGGCGAACGGGUGAGUAACACGUGGAUAACCUGCCCUCGGCACCGGAAUAGCCCGGGGAAACCCGGAUUAAUGCCGGAUGGCCCCACAUCCCUGCGGGGAACGUGGGAAAAGGUAGCUUCGGCCUCUGGCCGAGGAUGGGUCCGCGGUGGAUUAGCUUGUUGGCGGGGUAACGGCCCACCAAGGCGACGAUCCAUAGCUGGUCUGAGAGGACGAUCAGCCACACUGGGACUGAGACACGGCCCAGACUCCUACGGGAGGCAGCAGUGGGGAAUCUUGCGCAAUGGGCGAAAGCCUGACGCAGCGACGCCGCGUGCGGGAAGAAGGCCUUCGGGUUGUAAACCGCUUUCAGGAGGGACGAAGCCACUCGGGUGAACAGCCCAGAGGGUGACGGUACCUCCAGAAGAAGCCCCGGCUAACUACGUGCCAGCCGCCGCGGUAAUAC
Molecule: ribosomal RNA, 532 nt
Filed under: uncultured bacterium
Lineage: Bacteria
Description: bacterial SSU rRNA
Rfam family: Bacterial small subunit ribosomal RNA
Source: RNAcentral